GUGCUUCUCUCAAAGAAGAAAAUCUGAAGAACGUGGAGAAAAAUUGCACGGGUUCAGAACCCACGAAGCUGACGGUUUCCACAAUUUUAGAAACCAUCACCACCAUGUUACCUAUAUUUUUCUUCGUCCACUUCAUUGGCACCUUUUCUGCUUCAGAAAUCGAAAUCGAAAUUGCGAGUAAUCACCCAAGAGCACCCGGUGUAAAGACUGGCCAGACUCGAAAAACUUCCUUUCUCAUUCCGCACCACACCUGUUAUCCUGUAACUGAAGGUAAAGCAUCCGUUUUUUUGUCUUAAUGCAUGUAUAUUUCUAAUUUUGUUGGGUUCAAUAUAGUCUCCCCCAAUUUUUGUUGCUUUUCUUAUGAUGUGUUUUUUGUUGGUGCUGGUAUAACUAAAAAUCCUUUGUGCUCAGAUAAAGGAGGUAGGGUUCACACUCAGAAAGAGAGAAUAUUUAAAUUCGUACAGGAGGGAUAGUGUUCAAGUUAUUUAUCAGGUUAUUAUUUCAAAUCCUAUUUCUUUUUUGUCAUCACACGUGCUCUUCCAAGUUUUAGAUUGUUUGUUAGGAUUGUAUGAAUUUGGGUGUUUGAUUUUCGAAGUUUAAUUUUCUCUAUUUUGGCUAAUUUUGUCUUGGUUUCUCUCUGUCUCUUUCAUUCUUAUUUGUGAAUUUGUUAGGAUUUCUGAAUUUGGGUGUUUGAUUUUCGAAGUUUAAUAUUCUCUAUUUUGGCCAAUUUUGUCUUGGUUUCUCUCUGUCUCUUUCAUUCUUAUUUGUGAAUUUGUUAGGAUUUCUGAAUUUGGGUGUUUGAUUUUCGAAGUUUAAUCUUCUCUAUUUUGGCUAAUUUUAUCUUGGUUUCUCUCUGUCUCUUUCUUUUUUAUUUGUGAAUUAAUUUUGUUGGGUUCAAUGAUAAUCAGCUAGCUGCAUUUGACUUGGGGUAACAAAUGCAAGAGUUACAGAUGCACAAUUAUUAAUACAAAUGCAAGAGUUACAUUAUGUUCCUGAUGCACAAUUAUUAAUAUAAUAUUGCUGUUCAAGAGAAUCCAGCUUCUAAUACGUUGGCAAGCCUGUAAACAACUGGAUAAACCAACCUGUGAAUGUAGUUAUGUUUAUGAAUAGAUUCUAUAGCCAUAACACUUUGGGCAAUGUAAAAUCUUGCAACAGUUUCAGUCAAAGUCUCUUCUCAAUAAGCAAAGUCAUCAUGUCACCACCAAGUAGAUACUCCAUGAUUAGAUACAAGUAGUCAGCAUCUUGAAAGGAAUAGUAGAGUUUCACAAUGCAGUGACUAGCAACCUCUGCAAGCAAAUCCCUUUUAGCUCUAACAUGUUCAACCUACGUUGCAGAUAGUAUUUGGCCUGCUUAAGUUCUUUAUGGUAUCUGCAUUUUGAUUCUGUUUUGUGGCGUUUUCCUUUGUUUCUAAAUUCCAGUUAAUCACUCUGAAUCUCAAUGUUGUUGUUACUGAUUAGCUGUGAUUUUCCCCAAAAAUAUGUAGCUUAAGAGUCGAUGAAGUAAUUCCAUGAAGUAAUUUCAUCAAUAUGCUUGCUCAAUGUUGUUGUUCUUUGAAUCUGUGUUUUGUUGUGAUAUUCGAAUUUCUCAUAUAUUAGACAAUGUCUUCCUCUUUUUGAUCUGUUUACUAUCACUAAUCUCUAAUUUUUUUUAAUCCUAAUGGAAUUUCUUUGAUUAUAUAUAUAUAUAUAUAUAUGGGUUUAAAUUAAUUGUUCCUGAUUUCAUUAAAUUUUACUGCAGUACUUGGACGAGAACAAGUCAUUGAUUCUGAAGAUCGUUGAGAGCCAGAAUACAGGGAAAUUGAGUGAAUGCGUAAAGUGAGCAUUUACUUUUUCAUUGACUGCUCUGCUUUGGACAUCUUUUAUUUUCACAGAUUGCUAUUUAUAAGCAACGUAUAUCUGUUAGGCUAUUUUUAUUUAUAUGUUAACUUGCUUUCUAAUUGAUACUGCAUGGUUGCAACUCAUGGUUUGCUUGGAAUUUGCUUGGAAUUUGCUCAAUGUUGUUGUUCUUUGAACCUGUUUUUUGUUGUGAUAUUUGAAUUUCUCAUAUAUUAGACCAUGUCUUCCUCUUUUUGAUCUGUUUACUAUCACUAAUCUCUAAUUUUUUGAUCACUAAUCUCUAAUUUUUUGAUCAUAAUGGAAUUUCUUUGAUUAUAUAUAGAUGUUGUUUCGCUAGAGCACCAAUGAAGAAAGCAUUUAGAUUUGAUGUGUUUGAUGUCAAUGGUAUGAAUCUCUCUCUCUCUCUCUCUCUCUCUCUCUCAUAUUUUGGUUUGGGAUUUUUGAAUUCUUUUUUUGUGAAUUAAUUUUGCUGGGUUUAAUGAUAUUAUCAGCUAGCUGCAUUUGACUUGGUGUAAAUCACGUACUUGGUCUGCUUAAGUUCUUUAUGGUAUCUACAAAUUAAAAAAAUUAAAAAAAAUAAAAAUUAAAAAAAAAGUUCUUUAUGGUAAUUUAUAAAGUAAGAAUUUUGAUUCUGUUUUCUGGCGUUUUCCUUUGUUUCUCCAGCUAAUAGAUGUAGGGGUUUCCACACUGGCCAUUGAUUUGUGUUGGCUUUUUAGUGGGUAGUUGCCAAAACCUUGGAUUUGGAACUCAGUGGUAUUUGUUUCAACAAUUGAACAUAUUUUUCAUCUCUUGGUAGCAUUUGUUUUUCUACUUUGUUGGUUAAGCCAACCCCAUUGUAGUGCGUAGAAGGAGAUUUACAGUUUCAUAUUGUGUCUUCUGGAUAUUGUUAUCAAAUUAACAAAUUUCCUGAUCUCUCGAUCUCUGCUUUUGCUUACCUAAAUUGCAUUUGCUUCAAGUUGGAAUGAAUGAGGUAUUUUGAGGCUAUAUAAUUAUGUGAUUGUUGUGCUUCAUUCUAAUUACUGUUUAUUUUUUUAGUAUGAAUCAUAGUUAAGCAGUCGUCCAAUUGCUAUCAAAAGUGAAGGUGAGUAUACGUGUUCCCAAAUUAUGCUAAAAUUUGUCAAUUACAAAUUUAAAGGGGAGUGUUUAAACUUGGUCUCAUCUCAUGUUAUUUAUGUAUGUAUAGAUUGACAAUGAAAAAGUGAAAGAUCAUUUAGAGAGGAACGGGUGGCUCAAGUGAUCUUGAUCGUUGCAUGUCUUCCUCCUAUGUGCAUAUUAUGUAAAUAUUUAUGUCCAGAAUCUAAUCACGCGAUGUUAUGUAGAAUGAAAAUAUUAUAUUACUUAAAUUAUUUGAGAUUUUCCUAUUAAUGUUGGAUUUGCUUUGGAUAAUAUUAACGUGUUGGUCAUUAAUUGAAUAUAUAAGAAUCCCCC
RNAcentral lists this long non-coding RNA (3263 nucleotides) under Prunus dulcis (almond). Its description in RNAcentral is "sRNA ncRNA". The record is from RNAcentral. Lineage: Eukaryota; Viridiplantae; Streptophyta; Magnoliopsida; Rosales; Rosaceae.